This 381-nucleotide ribosomal RNA is filed under the name Triticum aestivum (bread wheat). Its description in RNAcentral is "partial small subunit ribosomal RNA". Lineage: Eukaryota; Viridiplantae; Streptophyta; Magnoliopsida; Poales; Poaceae. The record is from RNAcentral.
AUGGAGGCCGCGAUCGCGUGGCUGGUGGAGACCAUCCUUGCAACACUCCUGAUCGACAAGCUUGAUGCUUGGAUUCGCCAAGCCGGGCUUGCCGAUGACAUCGAGAAGCUCAAGUCGGAGAUCAGGAGAAUCAAGAUGGUGAUCUCUGCUCUCAAGGGCAGAGGGAUCCGGAAAGAGGCACUGGCUGAAUCUCUCGCCCUUCUGGAGGAUCACCUCUACGUACGACGCCGGCGACGUGGUGGACGAGCUCGACUACUACAGGCUCCAACAGCAGGUCCGGGGACAAGGGGGCACUCCCACUGCCUGGCCGCCUGCAGAUCCAAGCGUGCAUGUUGCAAGCGACGAGCGGCAAGGUGUGGAUGGAGCCGAGCGAGUCAAUGA